UGGGGAAUUUUGCACAAUGGGGGCAACCCUGAUGCAGCGACGCCGCGUGUUUUAGAAGGCCUUCGGGUUGUAAAAAUCUUUGGUAUGGGAAGAAAAUGACAGUACCAUACGAAUAAGGACCGGCUAAUUACGUGCCAGCAGCCGCGGUAAUACGUAAGGUCCGAGCGUUGUCCGGAAUCAUUGGGCGUAAAGGGUACGUAGGCGGAUAAGCAAGUUAGAAGUGAAAUCCUAUAGCUCAACUAUAGUAAGCUUUUAAAACUGCUCAUCUUGAGGUAUGGAAGGGAAAGUGGAAUUCCUAGUGUAGCGGUGAAAUGCGCAGAUAUUAGGAGGAAUACCGGUGGCGAAGGCAACUUUCUGGCCAUAAACUGACGCUGAGGUACGAAAGCGUGGGUAGCAAACAGG
RNAcentral lists this ribosomal RNA (402 nucleotides) under Actinomycetes bacterium. RNAcentral describes it as "Actinobacteria bacterium partial 16S ribosomal RNA". It matches the Rfam family "Bacterial small subunit ribosomal RNA", at positions 355 to 776 of the family's 1533-position model. The record is from RNAcentral. Lineage: Bacteria; Bacillati; Actinomycetota; Actinomycetes.